AUGCAUUUCGAAGACCAUGAGUUCGAGGUGGACGAGGAUGGUGAGGGCAUUGUCGACGCGCCGAAAGGAAGAGCGGGCAAUUACACCAACGCCGAUGACAUCUUACUAUGCAAUACUUGGUUGCAAGUGUCGAGGGAUCCAUCUGUUGGAGGUGAUCAAAGUAGAGAUGCUUAUUGGGGGCGGAUGAAAGAACACUUUGAUGUUCACAAUGUGGGUGGAAUUGACCGCUCCGAGAGAUCACUUCAGUCCCGGUGGUCAACAAUCAACUCGGAUUGUCAAAGGUGGGCGGCCUGUCAAAAGGCGGUUGACAAGUUGAACCCAAGUGGCACAAAUGAGGACGAUAGAAACUUGUUCAAAGAAGAGGAGGAAAACCAAGAAGGGGAAGAUCAAGAAAGGAAGGGUCUUUACCUUGCCUCAUUGCUAUAA
This 426-nucleotide ribosomal RNA is filed under the name Triticum aestivum (bread wheat). Its description in RNAcentral is "partial small subunit ribosomal RNA". Lineage: Eukaryota; Viridiplantae; Streptophyta; Magnoliopsida; Poales; Poaceae. The record is from RNAcentral.